Molecule: long non-coding RNA, 745 nt
Organism: Arachis duranensis
Lineage: Eukaryota; Viridiplantae; Streptophyta; Magnoliopsida; Fabales; Fabaceae
Exons: 2
Source: RefSeq, a predicted model, not a curated record
CACGAAUCGUUCAUUCGUUUGGGAAUUCUGGAGGGGAAUACAAUAUCAGCUGGACCAAACACCCUCUAGGGUUCCCCAGAGUUCUAUAAAUUUUAGAAAACCCUAAAGCCUAAACGCAAUAUUUUAACAGUUAAACCAACAUCUUAUACCUCAUAAGCACCGAUGCGCAUAGCAUUCAUUCGGAAUUCGAAGAAUGAGAUCCAAGUCUAUAGUUCCCUGUUUCAGAUUUAAGCUAUCCUCAAAGUUUUACCGUUUAUGUUUACUUCUGAUUCUUAGUUUUAUAUACGAGCAUCAGUGAUGAGCAAAUUCAAAAUUGUUAUCCUUGCACUUUGAUUACCCGUGAAGAAGCUUAUGGGGAAUUAUUUCUGAGGCUACAUGUACCAAGGGAAGGGUGAAUUUUCAGUACUCUUCAUCUUGAAUGUGCCAUACCGGCUGUAGCCAAAUUGAAAUUCGGUUAGGGAAGUUUACUGGCCGGUUGUUGUUACAUCCAUUUUUAGGUCUCGUCGACAAAUCUGCUUACCGAGCUUCUCACACUCAUUCCACAGGGAUGGCUACGACUACCAGGCUCGGUUACCUGCACUUCACCUCAAUUCCAGCCCUGCUAGUAUUUACAUAUUUUUGCUUUGUAGAUUUCAGUUAUUAGUAAAGUCUUAUAGAAAGAGUUGUUACAUCUGUUAUUCAUAAAUUAAUUAGAAAAUAUAGUUUAUGAGAAAUAAAUAAAGAAAACGUGGUUGGUGUUUGCUGA